RNAcentral lists this ribosomal RNA (495 nucleotides) under uncultured bacterium. Its description in RNAcentral is "bacterial SSU rRNA". It matches the Rfam family "Bacterial small subunit ribosomal RNA", at positions 29 to 518 of the family's 1533-position model. The record is from RNAcentral.
AUGAACGCUAGCGACAGGCCUAACACAUGCAAGCGAGGGGCAGCACAAGGAGCAAUCUGAGGUGGCGACCGGCGCACGGGUGAGUAACACGUAUGCAACCUGCCUGUAAGCGGGGAAUAACCCGUUGAAAGACGGACUAAUACCGCAUAAUACUAAAUUACUGCAUGGUAAUUUAUUUAAACAUUUAUGGCUUACAGAUGGGCAUGCGCAUGAUUAGCUAGUUGGAGAGGUAACGGCUCCCCAAGGCAACGAUCAUUAGGGGUUCUGAGAGGAAGGUCCCCCACACUGGUACUGAGACACGGACCAGACUCCUACGGGAGGCAGCAGUGAGGAAUAUUGGUCAAUGGACGAGAGUCUGAACCAGCCAAGUCGCGUGCAGGAAGAAUGUUCCCUAUGGAUUGUAAACUGCUUUUGCAGGGGAAUAAAGUGCAUCACGUGUGAUGUUUUGUAUGUACUCUGCGAAUAAGGAUCGGCUAACUCCGUGCCAGCCGCAGC